Long non-coding RNA from Ornithorhynchus anatinus (platypus), 849 nucleotides. RefSeq lists it as uncharacterized. The transcript has 3 exons. NCBI's taxonomy places the organism in Eukaryota, Metazoa, Chordata, Mammalia, Monotremata, Ornithorhynchidae. The record is from RefSeq and is a predicted model, not a curated record.
AAACAAAUAAGAUAUGGAGGAUCAGAUGGGGAAAUGGAGAUUGGACAAGCAGAAACCGAAAGCCCAAACAACCCAGAAGGAGAGAUAAUAAAUACCUGCCGCCUCUGACGUUCUGGGCAGUGGAUGGAGACUUGCAGCAGCCGGCUGAGAAUUGUCUCUGCCCAGAGGAUGGGAUGUCUGUUCUGUCUGCAGCAGAAGUGAGGAACCGUGGGACAGCUGCCAAAUAAAGUGAAGUUCCUGGAGUUUUGACACCUUGUAAAGACAUUCCAGUGGAUUCUAGCACACCCAAACAGAUGGUGUGAAAGGAGUACAGGGGAAGAAAUUUAGACCUCUGCCAGAUUCUUCUGUAUUCUAGGGAUAGACUGACUUUUUCCACACACAAAAAUUGGAGCCAGGAGAACUGUCAAAGAAAGGAAGUAAACAUUACAAGGGGUUCAAAUACAAUUGGACCUCAGGAAAGUGCAUGUGAAAGGCACACUUAAAAUGCUGUAAAAAGAACUGAAUUCGAGUGUUUCUGCAUGUUACCCUGAUGAAAUCUUUUCAGCUUGACACAUCUUAAAAAGGCAACUAAAGAGAACUCAACUAUUACUCGGAAUCAUCUGUCACAUCCAUCACUCAGAAAUCCCUCAAAGUGAUUCUGACUUAGAGGAAAGAAAGCACACUUCCUCGACGUCUCUGUUUACUUUCACCUCUGGAGAAAAGUCUCACGGUUGACCUGGAUCUCAGGAACCAGACACUGCUCAGAAGGAACCCGUUGACAGAAAGUCUUAGCCUUCUGGGGCUGUUAAUAAUAAUAAUAAUUGUGGUAUUUAAAUGCUUACUAUGUGCCGGGCACCAUACUAAGCUUUG